UAGACAAUUAACAUAAUGACGACGACGAUGAUGAUGAUGAUGACGACGAUUACGCAGCUAGUAGUGAUGCUGAUGAUGAUCAUGACGAGAGCGGUUGAAGCCUGCCGAACGUGUUUUAAGAAAACAUCACAGGUGAGGGGGGGAGGGCUGACGACAACCCAUCGUUAUUUCUAAUUUAAACUCAACCCCCACACCCCCUUCGCCAGCGGAGCCUCAAGCAAACUUAAUACCACUUUUUCCUACUACUACUACUACUACUUAUGCAUUGUCUUUGAUCUCUGUACCCCUAACCCCACCUCCCACCUUUUUUUUUUUUUUUAAUGUUUUUUUUAUUCUCUUUGUCGCUCUUGUGGCAAAAACAAAAACGGUUCAAAAUCCCGCCAUGCCCAACUCCACCUUUCAUCCUUUCCGCUCCAAUGAAAUCACCUUGCUCUCUUCCCACCCAAAUUUCAGGCCUUCUACCUAUUAGUAGAAAAGAUUAUUGUUAUUAUUAUUAUUAAGGCAGUAAGCUGGCAGAGUGGUUAGCACACUUGGCAGUAUUUCAUCUGUUUUAACAUUCUGAGUUCAAAUUCCACUGAGGUUGACUUUUGCCUUUCAUCUUUUUUUGGGGGGGGGGAGUCAAUGAAUUAAGUACCACUGCGUACUGGGGGUCGAUCUAAUUGACUGGCUCCAAUUCCCCCAAAAAUUUAGGGCCUUCUGCUUAGAGUUGAAAAGAAUUGUUACCACCCCGUGCAAAAUGCUUCAUGGUAUCUCUUCCCCCUUGAAGGCGGCGAGCUGGCAGAAUCAUUAGCAUGCCAGGCGAAAUGCUUUGUGGUAUUUCGUCUGCCGCUGCAUUCUGAGUUCAAAUUCCGCCGAGGUCGACUCUACCUCUCAACCUUUCGGGGUCGAUAAAUUAAGUACCAGUUACGCACUGGGGUGAAUAUAAUCGACUUAAUCCAUACGUCUGUCCUUGUUUGUCCUUCUCUAUGUUUGGCCCCUUUUGGGUAGUAAAGAAAUAGGUAUUUCUUCCUCCUCCUUUGAGUUCUGAGAUGAAAUUCUGCUCAGCUCGACUUUGCCCCUCCCCACUCCAUAUUUCAGGCCUUGUGCCUAUUAGUAGAAAAGAUUAUUAUUAUUAUUAUUAAGGGUGUUGGAUUGGCAGACUCGUUAGUGUCGUGACAAAUGCUCUCAUUCUUUAAAUUCUGGUUUCAAAUCCUAGUGGGGUGCACUUUGCAUUUGGGUCCCACCAAGGUUGACCACACAAGUUAACAGUCCCAUAUUCAGGUGCUUGACAGGGUCGACUAACCCCCACCUGUUGGGCCAAUAACAAACCAUUGUUACUACCACCACAAUCAGUAUUACUACUCCCACUGCUACUCCGGUAAUCUUCCUUAAUAAACCGUAAUGUCUGACCCUGGAUUCUUCGUUGUUCGUAAAGGACCUGUUUUUGUAUUGUUUAGUUUUUCUCUUAAUUUUACAAUUCAAAUACUUUAAAAACUUCAAAAUAGCAUUUUCAGAUUUCAGAAAAUGGUAUUUCUCAGCUUAUUUCUAAAAAAGUAUUUUGAGAUUCUGAAAAAUAUAAUUUAGAUUUUAGCAUUUUGUCCUACCCAGUGGAGUCACUUGUGCCUCUCUCUCCACCAUGGCCUUAAUAUGGCGCAAGAUGGGGUUGGUAGCAUUAGGCAAAGAAACAUUGUUAAUUUUGCAAAAUAUAAAGAUUUUGUAAUCUAAAAUGUUUCUAAUUUUUAGAAAUGCAAUUUAAAAUUUUUAAAAAAAGCAUUUUUAAAUUAUAUAAAAAAAAAUACAUACUUUGUAAUUUGAGAAAAUUUUUUUAAAAAUUAAAAUUCAUUUUCUUAAAUUUUGGAGAAAACAUUUUGAAGAAAAGAAAAGAAUUUUUCUUUUAAAGAACAGCUUUUAUAAAUUUUUCUAAAAAAUGUUUUGAAAUUCGAAAAAUGUGUAAAGUUUAUCAGAAAUGAAUUUUGCAAAAUUUUUCUGGAUAAUUUUUUGCAUUUUAGAAGUGGCAGAAAACAGGAGUUUUUUUUUGUUUUGUUUAUCUAUCUAUCUAUAUAUAUAUAUAUAUAUAUAUAUAUAUAUAUAUAUAUAUAUUUGAGUAGUUGAAUGAAUUUUCUUAUUAAGGAUAAUUCGAAAGAUAACCGAUACCUGGGUAGCAAAUUCACAUCAGAAAGAACACGGUUGAAUCUACGUCCCUAGGGCAUAGACUACCCUCUUCGUGCGGAAAUUUGUAUGUUUAUUUUAAAAUAUACUUUCAUAUACUUAUAAUUUUAAAAUAUAUAUAUAUAUAUAUAUAUAUAUAUAUAUAUGUAUGUAGAAUUAACUGAAAAAUCCAAAUAUUUUUUCCGUAUAAUGUGUCAUGGACAUCAAUUAUGUCUUUGAGGCUGGAGAGAUGACGUGAUAGCAGCGUUAUUCAGCAUUUUUGCUUAAAAAACAAAAAGCCAUCAGAUGCCGCUUGUCCAAUAUUUUCAAUUGCCAUUCUUUCUGGGAGUUUACUCUGGCAGGAUUAUUAUUAUUAUUAUUAUUAUUAAGGCGGUGAGCUGGCAGAACCGUUAGCUUGCCAGGAAAUAUGCUUAGCAGCAUUUCGUCUGUCUGAGUUCAAAUCCUGCCACGGCCAACUUUGCCUUUCGUCCUUUUGGAGGUCGAUAAAACAAGUACCGGUUACCUACUGGGGUUGAUAUUAUUGACUAGUCCCCUUGCCCACUAAAGGAACAAGCCUUGUUCCGUUAGUAGAAGGAAUUAGUCUUUUCUUUGUGGUGGUGGUCUUUUGAUACAGCAGACGGUAAGGAUUGUGCAUUGCUGCCCUCCCACUCCCUGGCCCCAGAGCGGAGGAAUUUGCAGUGGGACGGGGGUCGGUCAGCUGGUUCGGUUUGCCUUCUCGGUUGGUCUCUUGUUUCCUUCGCUGUGGUUGCCACCAGAUUCCUGCCCUCUGUCUGAGGAGGCAGGAAAGGAGGCCCCGUGUCACAGCAACACCCCACCCAUUCACCUACCCGUCCCACCGCCUCUCUCUUUACCCCCUACAAAACUACCGGAUGUCAAAGCCUAUGUAUAUAAACAUAAAUCUCACCAACAAAUCCAGGAGUUCUUUUCUUAUCUGAACGAGUUUUCUGAGCUGCCGUAACUUUGUAUUCACCAUUAUUAGACUCAUCCAACUCUUUCUCAAUCCUCUGUGCUGACCACAGACUGACUCCCAAAUGCCAAAUUUCUGGCAGAGUGAAUUGCGUCAUGGUGCUGGUUUUCCUCGCAGACGGUGCCCAACUGACCCUACUACACUGUGUAGUCGACAGAAUCAAAAACUAACAGUGCACAUGGUGCGAAAUUAAAAAUAUAGAAUGGCAACAAUUUACCCAUCGCACCCUGUAUAUAUGUGUGUGUAUAUAUAUAUAUGUAUAUGUAUAUGUGUAUAUAUGUAUAUGUGUAUAUAUAUAUAUGUAUAUGUGUAUAUGUAUAUGUGUAUAUAUAUGUAUAUGUGUAUAUAUAUGUAUAUGUGUAUAUAUAUAUGUAUAUGUGUAUAUAUAUAUAUGUAUAUGUGUAUAUAUAUAUGUAUAUGUGUGUAUAUACAUAUAUAUAUAUAUAUAUAAUUUACAAGAUAAGGGCAGAAGAAAUAUUCUAAUGCCAAAUAUGCCGAAACAAAAGAAAAUUUGUCGAUAACCAUUAAAUUUAUGCAUCUCGAAACAAACCGAUAGAAGAAAUUCGUUAUUACCGUAUUGGUCCAAUUUCGGGGUUAAUUCAUAAGAAAAUUUUCCCCUCUUCAGCGGCAAAUGCGCGAGAUAUAAAUGAAUUUAUAUAAAUUCGCAUAAAUUUAAUGGUUAUCGACAAAUUUUUUUUUUUGUUUUCGGCAUAUUUGGCAUUAGAAUUUUUCUUCUGCCUUAUGCAUAAAUUUUACCUUUAAAGGCAUUUUUUGAUAUGCUGGCCAUUGAUAAAAUUAUUUUCCCGAAAAAAAUUUUAUCCUAUAUUAAUUAUAUAUAUAUAUAUAUAUACACUCACACACAUGUUUAUAUAUAUACACACGUGUAUAUACGUGCAUGUUUGCAUAUAUAUACAUGUAUAUAUUGCAAUAAUCAUCAUCAUCGUUAUUGUCAUUACUGCUAUUAUAAUUAUUAAUUACUAUUAUUAUGAUCUGAAUUGAACGGCGUAUUAACAGUUACCAAUAUUACAAUUAUCAAUAUUAUAAUUAUGAAUAUU
Molecule: long non-coding RNA, 4170 nt
Filed under: Octopus vulgaris (common octopus)
Lineage: Eukaryota; Metazoa; Mollusca; Cephalopoda; Octopoda; Octopodidae
Source: RNAcentral